GUGACCUCGGAUCAGGUAGGGAUACCCGCGAACUACCCUCUUUUCUUUUCCUUGGGAUUAUGGGGGGGGGGCG
RNAcentral lists this ribosomal RNA (73 nucleotides) under Pseudocercospora eumusae. RNAcentral's name for it is "partial 28S ribosomal RNA". The record is from RNAcentral. Lineage: Eukaryota; Fungi; Ascomycota; Dothideomycetes; Mycosphaerellales; Mycosphaerellaceae.